UCUGGCCCCCUCCAGGCCCCAUCCGGGAGCUUCUUCAUGUCUGGCAGCUAAAGGGUGAAGUCUGGCAGAGCUGGUGCCCAGGAGCCCGAGUCUGCGUUACAGCUAGUAUCCACUGUCAGGCUCUGCGAGCGUUUCCCCGGCUGUACCCAUGACUAGGAUACGUGUUGGCAGAGACACUUGGAAGGAGCUUUGCUGUGGCAGUGCUUGAAGGUCUGAUUCACUGAGUCUGAGAGAUGGAAAUCAUGGGGGCCCAAGUCGGGAUGUUGUUAAUGGAAACACAAAUGAAAAAAAAAAUCUCCCUCAGACCAUCUCCCACUCCUGGACGCUGUUGCAUACAAGUGCCAAGAGCAGGCAUCUUUCUUCAUCUCUGAUUUCAAAGGGAAAGCUAAACAUUUUCUAUCAAAUAUUUUUGCAUGGGUUAAUUUUUAUCAAACACUUCAAUGCUUUGAUUAAAAUAAUUUUCCUCCUUUAUUUUGUUAGCAUGCUAAAAUAACACUGUAUUCUAGCAAACCAAUUUUACAUUCAUGGUAA
Long non-coding RNA from Dama dama (fallow deer), 531 nucleotides. RefSeq lists it as uncharacterized. The record is from RefSeq and is a predicted model, not a curated record. NCBI's taxonomy places the organism in Eukaryota, Metazoa, Chordata, Mammalia, Artiodactyla, Cervidae. The transcript has 3 exons.